Molecule: transfer RNA, 71 nt
Filed under: Nanobdellota archaeon
Lineage: Archaea; Nanobdellati; Nanobdellota
Description: tRNA-Gly
Rfam family: tRNA
About the family: Transfer RNA (tRNA) molecules are approximately 80 nucleotides in length. Their secondary structure includes four short double-helical elements and three loops (D, anti-codon, and T loops).
Source: RNAcentral
GCGCUAGUAGUCUAAUGGCAGGACGUAACCUUCCCAAGGUUAUAAUCCGGGUUCGACCCCCGGCUAGCGCA